This 705-nucleotide ribosomal RNA is filed under the name Roseovarius sp. RNAcentral's name for it is "bacterial SSU rRNA". It matches the Rfam family "Bacterial small subunit ribosomal RNA", at positions 44 to 795 of the family's 1533-position model. Lineage: Bacteria; Pseudomonadati; Pseudomonadota; Alphaproteobacteria; Rhodobacterales; Roseobacteraceae. The record is from RNAcentral.
ACGGAGCUACCAUGCAAGUCGAGCGAGAUCUUCGGAUCUAGCGGCGGACGGGUGAGUAACGCGUGGGAACGUACCCUCUUCUGCGGGAUAGCCACUGGAAACGGUGAGUAAUACCGCAUACGCCCUUCGGGGGAAAGAUUUAUCGGAGGAGGAUCGGCCCGCGUUGGAUUAGGUAGUUGGUGGGGUAAUGGCCUACCAAGCCUACGAUCCAUAGCUGGUUUUAGAGGAUGAUCAGCCACACUGGGACUGAGACACGGCCCAGACUCCUACGGGAGGCAGCAGUGGGGAAUCUUAGACAAUGGGCGCAAGCCUGAUCUAGCCAUGCCGCGUGAGUGACGAAGGCCUUAGGGUCGUAAAGCUCUUUCGCCUGUGAUGAUAAUGACAGUAGCAGGUAAAGAAACCCCGGCUAACUCCGUGCCAGCAGCCGCGGUAAUACGGAGGGGGUUAGCGUUGUUCGGAAUUACUGGGCGUAAAGCGCACGUAGGCGGAUUGGAAAGUAUGGGGUGAAAUCCCAGGGCUCAACCCUGGAACGGCCUCAUAAACUUCCAGUCUGGAGUUCGAGAGAGGUGAGUGGAAUUCCGAGUGUAGAGGUGAAAUUCGUAGAUAUUCGGAGGAACACCAGUGGCGAAGGCGGCUCACUGGCUCGAUACUGACGCUGAGGUGCGAAAGUGUGGGGAGCAAACAGGAUUAGAUACCCUGGUAGUC